GCCGGGCUGGGUGGCGCGGCGGUCCGAGCUCCCCGCCCUGCUGGGCCGGCGUCGUGUUCUCUCUCGUACCGCCAAAGCUCAGUCUCGGCAGUGUCGCUCGCGCCCUUGACCAGCGAGCCCGCUGGAAUUUAGUGACUGGGAUCGACGUCGCCGUUCGCAGUAAAGGGGAGCGCACAGACUCGGGGAAGGUCCCGUUCUCUGGUGAGGAGGUGGCCGCCCGCGCUCUGGAAGCAGGGGAGUUCAGGGUUACCUGGAUCAUUUCCACCCCUUUUGGACUUCAGAAGCUGUGUGGGUACCUACAUCCCAUCUGUAGCCUCGAACCGGCUCCUCCUGGGGAGGAGAGUGCCUGGGGUAAGAAGCUCGGAGAUCAUCCUGACAUCACUGCAACCAUGAUUUCACCAGGCUCGUGCACUGUGAGGUUAUUGCGAUCUGAAAUCUCUGCUGCUGGAAAGAGGAAUUUAUUCACAAGACUCUAAUCUAGGAUGACCCUUCACUCGUACAAACCUGCUGACGAGUGAUGGCAGUGUCCCCCGAGUCGAGCUCACAACAUGCUCAGGAGCUGCCUUCCUCUGGAGCAUCCUGCAUCACAGCCCCAGGGCCCUGAGUGCAAGGUGUAUCUGUGAACCAACAGUGAAGCACACACCAAGUGCCUCUUGGGACAUUUUGGGUAACCACUCUGGAGACAACUGGUAUGAAUCUCCAUCAGGCAGAGCUGCAUGAAGCUUCUUUGGCAUCGCAGCACACAAAGACUGGUGCGACCAACUUCUGUUUUCAUGAGUAUUGCACUGAGCUCGGAUGGGGCAACUCGGAGAAGAGGCUGAAGGUGCAACUUGAAGUGAAACCAGGAGCCACACAGCAGCUCAGGGGGGAGGUGGGGGAAUUCUGGAAAUGCUUGACAGAAGCUGCUGAUGCCUGAGCUGACAGCAGGGGCUAUGCACAGUCCAGACCCCCAGAACUCCUUCCCAGCACUCCCUCAUGGAAUUUUGAUGAGCACAUAACACAAUUCACAAUUCUAGGAUGCCUAAUACAUCCUAGAAAGAAGGAAGCUUUGAAGGAUCCCGCCAAACCAAAUCACAACUGCAGAACAGUCAGCUCUUUUAGGCGUUAGUGCCCCUGAGCAGCUGCUGGCAAGGACAGAGGGAACAGGGUUUGCAAGAUCAGCUCUUGGCCUUUUUGGGGCACCUUCGUUGCUGUGCCAGAAGGAAGAGGAAUGUUAUAGCUGGAACAUUUUGCAGAGGCAUUUCUCUUGGCAGGUUUAUGAUCUUUUCUGCCUCAGCUGGAAAGCUAGCAGGACUGAAUAAAUCUCCAGGCCAACAAAAACCCAGGAUGUUUUCACAAUUGCCAGGUUUUUAUUAAUUUACAAUAUUGAAUUUUUUCCUUCCUAACAACAGCUUCCACUUAGGUGGGGAGUCCUUUGGUAUGUUUGGGUGUGCAAAGCCAGUAAAACUCUGUGAGGGUCACCUGCCAAAUAUUUGUGCCAUUAAUGCCAGUAAACUGCAAAAUGUGAGAAGGUGGAUUUGGUGCUUUCACUUGUCAGGUCUUGCAGUGCUUUGCAAAAGAAAGGAACUGCCUACUGCCCCCAUGCUACAGAAGGCCCUGGCUCUGGGAGCAGAGCUGGCCACGUCACCCAGCUGAUGGGACAUGAGUCUCUUGCACAGCCUGAAAGUUCCACCAGCACUUGGUGCAAACAGAGGCUCUUCCUCCAUCCCAUUCUCUUUAAGUUCUCAGUGUUUCUGGCAUAAAUACAUACUGGCACCUCCUUGGCUUUAAAGGACCCAAGUGUUGCCAGAACCUGAGCAAGCUGAUCUAUUACUAUGACAUUUCCUACUGCUUCUGGAAUGAAACACCACUAUUUUUAUCUAUGUUUUGGGACCUGUCAACCCAUUCCAUAACAAGAGUUAAAUGAGCUGCAGAGACCUAAGCAGCAGGGCAGGGGUGUUUUUUGGCUGGGAGAUGGUGUGGGGGAUUCUGGCAGGACUGCCUGGGCAGGGGUACUUCUACCUCAAGGAGGGGAGAAAGGCCAGGAGCUGAGCUGUCCCUUGGCAAUGGGCAGCACAUAAAGCAGUGUCUGCAUGAACCUGUGGUGGCAGUGGCUCCGUCUGACACUUCACCACCCACCUUUUCACACCCAUCUCAGUGGGUUGCUGCGCCCCAGUACAGCCCAUGGUCCAAGCACCUCCUUUGCUGGUGGCUUUACCCAACCCCUCAACUGAGCUCCUUUCCAUCACCCACUGAGUCAAUGGGGGCAGCAAAUGGAGCUUGUGUCUGUAUUCCCACUUUGGGCCCCUCUGCCAUGGCAUUUGUCUCCUCUCUGCAGCCCAGGUGCUCCUUGGCCAUCGGCACUGUGCCAGCUGUGGCUCUGGCUGCGCAUCUGCAGGGAAACACUGGACAGCAGAUGUGGCUCAACAACCCCCUCUGCAGAACUGAGGGGGCCAGUGCAGUUUUUCAGCUGUUUUCUGGCCCUCAGGAGCUGCAAUCCCAAAUGCAUCUUUUUUGUCUUAGUGACACAGAUCAUGAUGAAGGCAGACAUGUGGGUGCAAGCUGACACCUGCAAAUUGGGAACAGGUCCUAUCCUGUAGAACCUCUUCUCCUUGGGGACAAGCCGAUGGGGCAGAUCACACCCUGGGAACACUGGGAAGGUGGGAUGUGAGAUCUAGCCCAGCAGUGGAGUGUGGCCAUGAGGCUUCCCACAGCUGAUUACUCCCUUUGGAGUCUCCCAAAGCCAGUGUGGCAAGCAGGGCCCUUCCCCACCAAGUAACAACUAAUGGGGAAUAUCUUCAAGUGAUUAAAAAAUUUAAACAGGUUAAUUAUUUCCAAGAAGAGAAAAGAAGAAUUAAAAUGGCUUCUGUGGGUACAUUUAAAAUACAAUCAAUAAUUUAUCAGAGAAUUUUUGUUCAACAAUGAGAAAUUAGGAGGCUUGAAACCCUCCCAAAUUUUAUCUGUCAGGGAAAAUGUUUAAAUUAUUUAUUUGGCUUCCUGUGACUGGUGCUGGGGGAGCAGCACCACCAGCCAGCCCUGGUCCUGCAAGAGCUCCAUAGACAGGUGACCUUGACCCAUCCGUGCACCAGUGAGGACCUCCCAUCCCUCCCUCUGCACCCUGGCACAGGGCUGGGCUUGCAGCAGGGGCUUGGGACGGGCGCUCAGGGAGCCAUUCCCAGAGCACUUGAGGGGCUUUGGGCAGGCUGAGUGCCAACAGCAGGAGCCCACCCCUGGGAUGUAACUAACCCCUAAGGAAUAUGGCAAAGUUGAAAAUUAAAGAGAAGCAGCUGGAGUUCAUCAUCCCCAUGAAAAACUCUGCGUCCCACCCAUAAAGGAAGGGGUGUCUGAGCUGCUCUGAAAAAUCCUUCAUCGUCUGUGGAAAUGUGCCUAGUUUUACAGAAAAAAUAAAUACAGUGCAUUGAAAAUAAAUGGCAUUAUUAGCAGAAAGGGAGUCUCUAAUUAACCAGAUAUAGUCCAUUACUGUAGCCUUCAAUUCAUUAAAUUACAUAAUUACAUAAACCCACUGUUGAUGUGCUAUUCAGUAUAUCUGGUAUUGUCUUCCUGAUAAUUAGCUCCAUAAUUGUCAGUUUGACAGGGUAAUUAAAAAUGUUUAAAGAUGUUGUGUCAGCCUUUUCUCCUUUGCUGAGCUCAGUUGGAUGUCUCUGGAAGAUGAUUUUCUACCCAAUUCCACCAUGGUUUUGUUUUUGAUUUAUACCAGUGUGUUACAGGAAUGACCAGGCUCAUGGAUUACUUUGAUAUUCCUGCUAGGCUGAUUUUUAAGGGUAGGAGAAAAAUAACUCCAGAUGUCAUUUUCAUUUACUUUUAGGAACUCUGUGGUCCCAUCCCCUGGUUUGUGCUACCGGUGACGUGACUUUCAGUUUUAUGGGCAGAGUGUUGUGAAAUCUGACAUUUGUAGCCCUAAAUCUCGGUUCUGUUUGCUGUGUAAAACCUUUCAUCCCACAUGCAUUUUUUAUGAAGAGAUGCAGAAAGGCAGGAGAUGCAGGCCGUGGCUCUGUGCGGAGGGGGCAGCUCAGCGGUGUGGGCGGCCGGGGCCGGGCUGUGCCCGGCUGUGACGAGGCUUCAGCUGCGUGGGCUUGGGCACAGGCGUGACAUGACGGCGGUGAAAUGUCACGGAGAAGCACGGGACCCGUGGGUCGUUGUGCCAUUGGGGGGGUGUAGGUGGCAUGAUGCCCCGGGCAUGGUGCUGGGGAGCAGGACAGGAGCCUGGGACUGAUCAACUAGCAGGGGAGACCGCCUGGGAACAGUGCAGACGAGCCUGAUGCUGUGAAUGUGCUUUAACAGAGGUGGUUUCUGGAGUUCUACAUGGUAGUCGCUCUGAGUUCUGUUGUUUUAGGGCAGUGAUUGCCACUUUGGAUGGUCAAAACCCUGAAUGGUUUCUCUUUUCAACAAAAUAAAGCCUAAUAUUCAUUGCUGAGAAGUGAUAAAUGUAUCUAUCCUCACACUCAGGAGUUUUGCCAGCUGGGUUUUGGCUGGAUGAGAGACUGUUUGUGAAAGCUUUCAUGGAUUUUUGAAAAUAACAUGUUUUG
Long non-coding RNA from Lepidothrix coronata (blue-crowned manakin), 4526 nucleotides. RefSeq lists it as uncharacterized. The transcript has 6 exons. Lineage: Eukaryota; Metazoa; Chordata; Aves; Passeriformes; Pipridae. The record is from RefSeq and is a predicted model, not a curated record.